This 253-nucleotide ribosomal RNA is filed under the name uncultured bacterium. RNAcentral describes it as "partial 16S ribosomal RNA". It matches the Rfam family "Bacterial small subunit ribosomal RNA", at positions 524 to 776 of the family's 1533-position model. The record is from RNAcentral.
UACAGAGGGGGCAAGCGUUGUUCGGAAUUACUGGGCGUAAAGGGCGCGUAGGCGGGCCAGCCAGUCUGUGGUGAAAGCCUCCAGCUUAACUGGAGAAGUGCCGUGGAUACUGCUGGCCUCGAGGAGGGUAGGGGCAUCUGGAACGGUCGGUGGAGCGGUGAAAUGCGUUGAUAUCGACCGGAACUCCGGUGGCGAAGGCGAGGUGCUGGGCCCUUUCUGACGCUGAUGCGCGAAAGCCAGGGGAGCAAACGGG